UACUACUUGGAUAACCGUGGUAAUUCUAGAGCUAAUACAUGCUAAAAAUCCCGACUUCGGAAGGGAUGUAUUUAUUAGAUUAAAAACCAAUGCCCUUUGGGCUCCUUGGUGAUUCAUAAUAACUUUUCGAAUCGCAUGGCCUUGCGCCGGCGAUGGUUCAUUCAAAUUUCUUCCCUAUCAACUUUCGAUGUUUGGGUAUUGGCCAAACAUGGUCGCAACGGGUAACGGAGGGUUAGGGCUCGACCCCGGAGAAGGAGCCUGAGAAACGGCUACUACAUCCAAGGAAGGCAGCAGGCGCGCAAAUUACCCAAUCCCGAUUCGGGGAGGUAGUGACAAUAAAUACUGAUACAGGGCUCUUUUGGGUCUUGUAAUUGGAAUGAGUACAAUUUAAAUCUCUUAACGAGGAACAAUUGGAGGGCAAGUCUGGUGCCAGCAGCCGCGGUAAUUCCAGCUCCAAUAGCGUAUAUUAAAGUUGUUGUGGUUAAAAAGCUCGUAGUUGAACCUUGGGCCUGGCUGGCCGGUCCGCCUCACCGCGUGUACUGGUCCGGCCGGGCCUUUCCCUCUGUGGAACCUCAUGCCCUUCACUGGGUGUGGCGGGGAAACAGGACUUUUACUUUGAAAAAAUUAGAGUGCUCCAGGCAGGCCUAUGCUCGAAUACAUUAGCAUGGAAUAAUAAAAUAGGACGUGUGGUUCUAUUUUGUUGGUUUCUAGGACCGCCGUAAUGAUUAAUAGGGACAGUCGGGGGCAUCAGUAUUCAAUUGUCAGAGGUGAAAUUCUUGGAUUUAUUGAAGACUAACUACUGCGAAAGCAUUUGCCAAGGAUGUUUUCAUUAAUCAGGAACGAAAGUUAGGGGAUCGAAGACGAUCAGAUACCGUCGUAGU
This 881-nucleotide ribosomal RNA is filed under the name Lecanicillium fusisporum. RNAcentral describes it as "SSU rRNA". It matches the Rfam family "Eukaryotic small subunit ribosomal RNA", at positions 133 to 1024 of the family's 1831-position model. Lineage: Eukaryota; Fungi; Ascomycota; Sordariomycetes; Hypocreales; Cordycipitaceae. The record is from RNAcentral.